This 205-nucleotide long non-coding RNA is filed under the name Prunus dulcis (almond). RNAcentral's name for it is "sRNA ncRNA". Lineage: Eukaryota; Viridiplantae; Streptophyta; Magnoliopsida; Rosales; Rosaceae. The record is from RNAcentral.
UAGAGUUGUUAGAUUUUGAUGGAUCUUUCAUACGUGGUGUUGUGAGAUCAUGGGGGAUGCUGGAGGUGUUGUGGUCUUCUUUGGCCAAAUGGAUGUUGAGCUGUAAGGCCUUUCACUUUUGGUGUUUCUGGUUCCUUGUUCAUGCAAAAUCAAUCAUUCUCAUGGUCUCUAUGUCGCACUGGUGCUAUACAGAGUCUUCUUGAUC